Mesocricetus auratus (golden hamster) is the source of this 90-nucleotide small nuclear RNA. The record is from Ensembl. NCBI's taxonomy places the organism in Eukaryota, Metazoa, Chordata, Mammalia, Rodentia, Cricetidae.
UUGCUUCCAAAGCACACAUACUAAAAUUGGAACAGUACAGAGAAGAUUAACAUGACCCGUGUGCAAAUUUGUGAAGAGUUCCAUAUUUUU